Molecule: ribosomal RNA, 401 nt
Filed under: uncultured bacterium
Lineage: Bacteria
Description: partial 16S ribosomal RNA
Rfam family: Bacterial small subunit ribosomal RNA
Source: RNAcentral
UGGGGAAUAUUGGACAAUGGGCGGAAGCCUGAUCCAGCAACGCCGCGUGAGGGAUGACGGCCUUCGGGUUGUAAACCUCUUUCAGUACCGACGAAGCGAAAGUGACGGUAGGUACAGAAGAAGGACCGGCCAACUACGUGCCAGCAGCCGCGGUAAUACGUAGGGUCCGAGCGUUGUCCGGAAUUAUUGGGCGUAAAGGGCUCGUAGGCGGUUUGUCGCGUCGGGAGUGAAAACAGCGGGCUUAACUCGUUGCUUGCUUUCGAUACGGGGCAGACUAGAGGGUAUGCAGGGGAGAAUGGAAUUCCUGGUGUAGCGGUGAAAUGCGCAGAUAUCAGGAGGAACACCGGUGGCGAAGGCGGUUCUCUGGGCAUUACCUGACGCUGAGGAGCGAAAGUGUGGGG